Molecule: transfer RNA, 75 nt
Filed under: Caudoviricetes sp.
Lineage: Duplodnaviria; Heunggongvirae; Uroviricota; Caudoviricetes
Description: tRNA-Ile
Rfam family: tRNA
About the family: Transfer RNA (tRNA) molecules are approximately 80 nucleotides in length. Their secondary structure includes four short double-helical elements and three loops (D, anti-codon, and T loops). Further hydrogen bonds mediate the characteristic L-shaped molecular structure. tRNAs have two regions of fundamental functional importance: the anti-codon, which is responsible for specific mRNA codon recognition, and the 3' end, to which the tRNAs corresponding amino acid is attached (by aminoacyl-tRNA synthetases). tRNAs cope with the degeneracy of the genetic code in two manners: having more than one tRNA (with a specific anti-codon) for a particular amino acid; and 'wobble' base-pairing, i.e. permitting non-standard base-pairing at the 3rd anti-codon position.
Source: RNAcentral
UGAAGCAUAAUACAAGGGUUAGUAUGCUGUGCUGAUAACGCAGAAAUGAUGGUUCAACUCCAUCUGCUUCAACCA